This is a long non-coding RNA of Culex pipiens pallens (northern house mosquito), 943 nucleotides long. RefSeq lists it as uncharacterized. Lineage: Eukaryota; Metazoa; Arthropoda; Insecta; Diptera; Culicidae. The record is from RefSeq and is a predicted model, not a curated record. The transcript is spliced from 3 exons.
CUCAAAAUUACAUCUGCGAAGAUUUAACAUUCCAUUUUGUUUGAUGCACAUAACUGGAGCGUGUUCUUUGACGUAAUUUUGCGGCAAAUCAGACUCAAAUUUAAGUGCAUUUACGUUUUUCGCUUGACCGUGCACUGUGCAGUGAGAAGGCGGCCAUGUUUGAAUCCACAAAGAAAGAUGCGUUUGAACGAAAAGGUUUAGUUUCGCGAAACUUGUCCAGAAAAGUAGAAAUCUUUUGCCAAAUAUUGGUAGAGCAUUGAAAAGUACCUACUACAUAAAGAUGUUGGAGCUUUCAUUAUCAAGAUUAUUCUGCCACCCGAUCCAGGACCGCAACUCUAGGUUCCUGCAGGCCAUGGCUAUGAUCAUUCCCGUUCUCAUUUCGGAAAGACAACGGAGUUCUUGGCCCCAUAGAAGGGGAUUAUGACGAAGUUCCAGAGCAACGUUCCGGUGACCAGAGGCAGAUUCUCCCCGUCUUUUCCGGAACACCUCGUUGUGGAAUCGAUUCCUGCUUUAUUUUUAACAAGCAAGCUUCUCGCCUGGCCCCAGCCGAAACAGUUUCAAACAAGGUUAGGUUGAUUCGAUUGUCGUCAACUGGCCAGAUCCGGAGUGAAGAUUGUCCACACAGAUCUUCUAGUAGAAGGGGAACGGAUUCGUGCCCGUGACAGUUUUCGAACAGUUUGAGGCCGCCAGCUGAUGAACGGGUCCGAGGACGGGCCGGAACAUGGACGGAUUAAUUUGGCGAAAACAGUGCUUUUGAAUGAAUCAAAAAAAGUGACGUAUGUUAUUGUCAGUUCUAGUGAUUUUUUUUUUUAUAAAAACGAUAGCGUAAUAUGUUAAUGAGCAUGAAAUAAAGAAAUAUUUAUGUGAAAACUUUUCUAUUUUUAUUUUCUAACCUAAAAAUCACAGCUUUUUUUCAUCCAGCAGCAGCACGGGUAAAAUUACA